Salvia miltiorrhiza (redroot sage) is the source of this 1432-nucleotide long non-coding RNA. RefSeq lists it as uncharacterized. The transcript has 2 exons. The record is from RefSeq and is a predicted model, not a curated record. Lineage: Eukaryota; Viridiplantae; Streptophyta; Magnoliopsida; Lamiales; Lamiaceae.
GGUAUCUAUAUUUAUAUCUCUUUCCCACGAAUUCACACCUUCUCUCUCCCACGAAUUCAUUAAAAUAAAAAAAAAUUCCAAAAUUUGUAACUCUUUUCAUCAACCUCUGCCACACAUUCUCUCCCCCACGAAUUCAUUAAAAUAAAAAAUUUCCAAAAUUUGAAACUCUCUUCUUCAACCUCUGCCGAGGAAAUUUCUUCGACAGUAAGAAACUUCUCCACCAAUCUGGGUAAAUUUCUUCAUUUUUUCCCCAAAAAACGCGAUAGGUUUGGGAAAUUUCCCUAACAAUGUCGAUGAAGUCCUCACAGGCCGCUGCCGCAGCAACAAUAGCUCAAAAGCCAUAGAGGCAGAAGCAACACGCAAUCGAGCCACACGAAAAAAUGAAUUGCAUAAAUCCUCUCAUUCUUAAUUUUGCUAUCCGAGCAAAUCGUGGCGACGGUGAAGAAGGCCGAAUCGUUCAAGCUUUAGUGCUUCGAGGUCGGAAAGCAUGUGGAGCGCGUGCGCCAGAUGCUUCACUCGCUCCCUCGCAAUCUCUCUCAUGCCCUAAGGUUGCUGCCGACGUUGAAGCUCGCCGCCGCGGAUCUUCAGCAGGGGUUAUGUGGACGAAAGUCUCAGAAGAUUAAUUUGUCAUCGCUCUGCCUCAAACUGUUUUAGGCGUAAAGAAAAAAUAAGAAGACUUAAUAUAAGAAGAUUUAAGUAAUCGAUGUUGGUGGAAUUCGCAGCAGGAAGAAAAAAUGGCAGUGACACCGCGUAUAGAGUUGGCGAAGAUGAGCGUGGAGCACCUGAGGUGGUUGAAAGAGUAGGUCAAUCUACUCCAAAACAGUCUCACCAACAUCCGCUCCACCAAUGCCCGCCUCGAGAUCGCCUCUGCCACCCUCCAUGACGUCUUCAUCCUCCCAAGCUAGGGAAGAAGAUGUUGGUGCCACUGAUGAUAUCGCUUACGUGAUGGGAAAGCUGGAUGAUGCGGAGAAGUUUUUGGUGAACCUCAGCAGCGGCUAUUUCAUUGAGAAAUUAAUGGUAGAAGGCAAAGAUUAUUGCGAGUGUAAAAUUGUUUUGCCUAAGUCGAAUUAUGACCAACUUCUUGAGGUGGCUGCAAAAAGAGAAGCAUAGCAGGGGCGAUUUUACAAGUAAAGUUGAAGCAUUCGGCCCCUCCCACAAUAGUUGUGUUUUGGAUAUAACAUCUUGGUACUCGCUAAAUUUGCAUAUGUUUUGCUUCAGUAACAAGAAAAGGAUUAUAGAGGAGCAGAGAGAGUUUUUUAAAUUCUUUCUCUUGAUCCACUGCACUAUGCUGAUGAAUAUCGAUGUUUGGGGAUGUUAGUUUGAGAUCGUGUUAUGCCAUUGAUAUGUAUAAUUCUCAAAAUUCCAAUUAAAAAUUAAAACAUUGUAAUUGAUGUCUCAUUUCAUAGUUGAUAUGUUCUCGCUUGAUGCUUCA